AUUCUCGUUUUUUUUUUUUUUAGACCCAGCCAUGUUUGGGUACAUCGAAACAAAUAAUUAUUGCACAAGUUUGACGGUGAAUAUCUUCUGAACGGUUAAUAUAAUCGACUAAUCAUAAAAGACCAUUAUUGUAAAGAACAGGGUCAACUUCCUCUUGAGCCACAGAAAAAAAAAAUAUGCAACAAUCUACCCCGGGGCCGCAACUUCUUGCCCCAGACCGGG
This 222-nucleotide long non-coding RNA is filed under the name Neodiprion pinetum (white pine sawfly). Its description in RNAcentral is "uncharacterized LOC124213532". The record is from RNAcentral. Lineage: Eukaryota; Metazoa; Arthropoda; Insecta; Hymenoptera; Diprionidae.